This 496-nucleotide ribosomal RNA is filed under the name uncultured bacterium. RNAcentral's name for it is "partial 16S ribosomal RNA". It matches the Rfam family "Bacterial small subunit ribosomal RNA", at positions 30 to 523 of the family's 1533-position model. The record is from RNAcentral.
ACUGAACGCUGGCGGAAUGCUUUACACAUGCAAGUCGAACGGUAGAGGGGGCAACCCCUCGAGAGUGGCGAACGGGUGAGUAAUAUAUCGGAACGUGCCCAGUCGUGGGGGAUAACGUAGCGAAAGUUACGCUAAUACCGCAUACGAUCUAAGGAUGAAAGCGGGGGAUCGCAAGACCUCGCGCGAUUGGAGCGGCCGAUAUCAGAUUAGGUGGUUGGUGGGGUAAAGGCUCACCAAGCCAACGAUCUGUAGCUGGUCUGAGAGGACGACCAGCCACACUGGAACUGAGACACGGUCCAGACUCCUACGGGAGGCAGCAGUGGGGAAUUUUGGACAAUGGACGCAAGUCUGAUCCAGCCAUUCCGCGUGCAGGAUGAAGGCCCUCGGGUUGUAAACUGCUUUUGUACGGAACGAAAAGGUCUCUCUUAAUACGGGGGGCUCAUGACGGUACCGUAAGAAUAAGCACCGGCUAACUACGUGCCAGCAGCCGCCGUAA